UACGGAGGGUGCGAGCGUUGUCCGGAAUCACUGGGCGUAAAGGGCGCGUAGGCGGCGCGGGCAGUCAACGGUGAAAGCUUGGGGCUCAACCCCGAGUCGGCCGUCGAUACUGCCGGGCUGGAGCACUGUAGAGGCAGGUGGAAUUCCGGGUGUAGCGGUGGAAUGCGUAGAGAUCCGGAAGAACACCGGUGGCGAAGGCGGCCUGCUGGGCAGUAGCUGACGCUGAGGCGCGACAGCGUGGGGAGCAAACAGG
Molecule: ribosomal RNA, 253 nt
Filed under: uncultured bacterium
Lineage: Bacteria
Description: partial 16S ribosomal RNA
Rfam family: Bacterial small subunit ribosomal RNA
Source: RNAcentral